CCUACGGGUGGCUGCAGUGGGGAAUAUUGCGCAAUGGACGAAAGUCUGACGCAGCAACGCCGCGUGAGUGAAGAAGGCCUUAGGGUUGUAAAGCUCUGUCGAGAGGGAAGAAAACAUUCUAGGUUAAUACCCUAGAGUAUUGACGGUACCUCUAGAGGAAGCACCGGCUAACUCUGUGCCAGCAGCCGCGGUAAUACAGAGGGUGCAAGCGUUGUUCGGAAUUAUUGGGCGUAAAGGGUGGGUAGGUUGUCUCGUUUGUCAGAGGUGAAAUCCCU
RNAcentral lists this ribosomal RNA (275 nucleotides) under uncultured bacterium. Its description in RNAcentral is "partial 16S ribosomal RNA". It matches the Rfam family "Bacterial small subunit ribosomal RNA", at positions 338 to 604 of the family's 1533-position model. The record is from RNAcentral.